CCAAUAGCGUAUAUUAAAGUUGCUGAAGUUAAAAAGCUCGUAGUUGAAUUUCGGGACCAUCAUGUCGGUCGUGCCUCGGUACGUACUGGCAUUGUUGGUUUCUCCCUUCUGACGAACCAUGAUGUCAUUUAUUUGGUGUUGUGGGGAAUCAGGACUGUUACUUUGAAAAAAUUAGAGUGUUUAAAGCAGGCUCACGCUUGAAUACAUUAGCAUGGAAUAAUGAAAUAGGACGUUUGAUUCUAUUUUGUUGGUUUCUAGGAUCGACGUAAUGAUUAAUAGGGAUAGUUGGGGGCAUUAGUAUUCAAUUGUCAGAGGUGAAAUUCUUGGAUUUAUUGAAGACUAACUACUGCGAAAGCAUUUGCCAAGGAUGUUUUCAUUAAUCAAGAACGAAAGUUAGGGGAUCGAAGACGAUCAGAUACCGUCGUAGUCUUAACCAUAAACUAUGCCGACUAGGGAUCGGAUGAUGUUAAUUUUUUAAUGACUCAUUCGGCGCCUUACG
Molecule: ribosomal RNA, 499 nt
Filed under: uncultured Glomeromycotina
Lineage: Eukaryota; Fungi; Glomeromycota
Description: partial small subunit ribosomal RNA
Rfam family: Eukaryotic small subunit ribosomal RNA
Source: RNAcentral